This is a long non-coding RNA of Canis lupus familiaris (dog), 519 nucleotides long. RefSeq lists it as uncharacterized. The record is from RefSeq and is a predicted model, not a curated record. NCBI's taxonomy places the organism in Eukaryota, Metazoa, Chordata, Mammalia, Carnivora, Canidae. The transcript has 2 exons.
CAUCAUACUGCAAGGCCUCGAUGACAUCAUAAAGCAGGUGCCACCCACUCCCUGGAGCAUGCCUGGGGAGCUUGAUGAGUAUGGCGGGGAAGAAGAUCUGGGGGAGUUAACAUGUGGUGGUAGUUGAGAGCCCUUAAUUGGGAAGCAGGGAAUGAAGUCAGUCAUACCCAACUCAGAAGGGCUUUAUGUCUUUUCCAUGAGAUGAUGCACAUAAGUAGAUACUUUCUUCAGUGCCGCAUGGACUGAAUGUACAUACAUGGCCAUUAUUUUGGAUGAUGCUUAUCAAAAGUAAGGGCACAUGGUCUGGGCAACCCACCCCUAGCAGCUGGAGCUGCCCCUCUUCCCACAUUACCCAGGCCUGGAGAGGAGGAGAGCCACAGUGCUACCUGCUACAUGGGGUCCUAGAGGGCCACCUCCUAGGUUGGGCAUGGGUGGGGAUAUCAUGCUUGUGUCUCUGGAGACAGGUUUGGCCAGCUUUUCUUCUCUUGGAUGGGGAAAUAUACUUGUCAUGAUGGGACA